Transfer RNA from Ostreococcus lucimarinus CCE9901, 82 nucleotides. It matches the Rfam family "tRNA". From Rfam's summary of the family: Transfer RNA (tRNA) molecules are approximately 80 nucleotides in length. Their secondary structure includes four short double-helical elements and three loops (D, anti-codon, and T loops). Further hydrogen bonds mediate the characteristic L-shaped molecular structure. tRNAs have two regions of fundamental functional importance: the anti-codon, which is responsible for specific mRNA codon recognition, and the 3' end, to which the tRNAs corresponding amino acid is attached (by aminoacyl-tRNA synthetases). tRNAs cope with the degeneracy of the genetic code in two manners: having more than one tRNA (with a specific anti-codon) for a particular amino acid; and 'wobble' base-pairing, i.e. permitting non-standard base-pairing at the 3rd anti-codon position. NCBI's taxonomy places the organism in Eukaryota, Viridiplantae, Chlorophyta, Mamiellophyceae, Mamiellales, Bathycoccaceae. The record is from Rfam.
GCAUUCGUGCCCGAGUGGUUAAGGGGUUCGACUAGAAAUCGAAUACGGUCUCCGUGCGUAGGUUCAAAUCCUGCCGAAUGCG